Molecule: small nucleolar RNA, 138 nt
Organism: Tachyglossus aculeatus (Australian echidna)
Lineage: Eukaryota; Metazoa; Chordata; Mammalia; Monotremata; Tachyglossidae
Source: RefSeq, a predicted model, not a curated record
CCCCUCUCAGGGUCACACCUGGAGAGUUUCCAGUACUCUACCAGGCACGACUUCGGGAGGAAAAGUCAAACAGAGGCAGAUUCACUCCAUUCCUAGCUUGGCCAGUGGCUAGUGAGUGGAAGGCCAUCUGCUACAAGU